This 488-nucleotide ribosomal RNA is filed under the name uncultured bacterium. RNAcentral's name for it is "bacterial SSU rRNA". It matches the Rfam family "Bacterial small subunit ribosomal RNA", at positions 28 to 517 of the family's 1533-position model. The record is from RNAcentral.
GAUGAACGCUAGCGGCAGGCUUAACACAUGCAAGUCGAGGGGUAUAGUUCUUCGGAAUUAGAGACCGGCGCACGGGUGCGUAACGCGUAUGCAAUCUACCUUUCACAGAGGGAUAGCCCAGAGAAAUUUGGAUUAAUACCUCAUAGUAUAGCAGUUUCGCAUGAAACCACUAUUAAAGUCACAACGGUGAAAGAUGAGCAUGCGUCCCAUUAGCUAGUUGGUAAGGUAACGGCUUACCAAGGCAACGAUGGGUAGGGGUCCUGAGAGGGAGAUCCCCCACACUGGUACUGAGACACGGACCAGACUCCUACGGGAGGCAGCAGUGAGGAAUAUUGGUCAAUGGACGCAAGUCUGAACCAGCCAUGCCGCGUGCAGGAUGACGGUCCUAUGGAUUGUAAACUGCUUUUGUACGAGAAGAACACUGGUUCGUGAACCAGCUUGACGGUACUGUAAGAAUAAGGAUCGGCUAACUCCGGUGCCAGCAGCCG